AGGAUUAGUACGAACAUGUAGCGAAGAGAUCUUGGCGAUGAGAAUUGAGAUGCUUCUGACAUCGAGUCAUGCCAGUCCUUGUCUGUGCCGAGCAAGCCUCUUGCAUAGCAGGCUUCUUGAAAGGUAUUGUAUUUGAUGUCACCCACUGAAUAUAAAUCGUCAUAGCAUGUAGGGCCUCGUACUACGCUGACCAAAAUGCGCAAGUAAUAUUUAUCACCAGCUGCUGGGUUAAUGUUUACAAUCCGUCCAAUGGUCCCUUUCUGCUUUCUUUUUGUGUAGAUCUUGUUUGAACUAUCCUAGACAAACAUAAGUAGUAUCUCAAUGUACUUUAAUUUCCUGACUUCUUCGUAGAGUCUGUUCAUUUCAAACCACUCUGUUAACAUAGUUCUGCCAUGUAGGUACCGGUUCUCGACAUUCCCAAGGUCCUCAUCUUCUUCAAAUAUAGCCGUCUGUUCUCCAGGGAGGUGUACUGGCAUUUUCUGUACCGCUGGGGUGUGGUGGUGAAUAGAAAACUCAAAUAUUCUCCACAUCGAUUCACAUGCUGAAAGGUACCUCCCGUCUAAAUAAUUAUCUAUCUCAUUGGUCGGCUUUUCUUUUUUGUUUGUCUCCGACUGAGUAGACUGGUCUUGGUUUUUUUGGAACCUGAAGCAUGAUCUAUCAACACCCUUUGUAAUGUACUUGAACAGGUAUUUGAUUGCGCUUGAUUUGUUGCACCAUUCAACAUUGACAUGUGCCUUGUAUUUUUUCAGGAUCUGGAGAUUGUGGGGAACAACAAAUUGAUUGUCAAGCUUGAUGUUUCCCUUGUAAACAAACUGUUCUGUCUACCGUCGCCUGUAUAAGAUGUAGCCGGACUCAUUAACUUGAGUGUGUGAAACGUAGCUGCGGGGAAAUUUUUUACUGCAAACACC
RNAcentral lists this long non-coding RNA (908 nucleotides) under Brassica napus (rape). RNAcentral describes it as "long non-coding RNA (BNAP_LNC023547)". The record is from RNAcentral. Lineage: Eukaryota; Viridiplantae; Streptophyta; Magnoliopsida; Brassicales; Brassicaceae.